This 384-nucleotide ribosomal RNA is filed under the name uncultured bacterium. RNAcentral's name for it is "bacterial SSU rRNA". It matches the Rfam family "Bacterial small subunit ribosomal RNA", at positions 28 to 414 of the family's 1533-position model. The record is from RNAcentral.
GACGAACGCUGGCGGCGUGCUUAACACAUGCAAGUCAAGCGGUAAGGCCCUUUCGGGGGUACACGAGCGGCGAACGGGUGAGUAACACGUGGGUGACCUGCCCUCAGCUCUGGGAUAAGCCUGGGAAACUGGGUCUAAUACUGGAUAUGACUCCACGGUGCAUGUCGUGGGGUGGAAAGCCUUGUGCGGCUGAGGAUGGGCCCGCGGCCUAUCAGCUUGUUGGUGGGGGAUGGCCUACCAAGGCGACGACGGGUAGCCGGCCUGAGAGGGCGACCGGCCACACUGGGACUGAGACACGGCCCAGACUCCUACGGGAGGCAGCAGUGGGGAAUCUUGCGCAAUGGGCGAAAGCCUGACGCAGCGACGCCGCGUGAGGGAUGACGG